Molecule: long non-coding RNA, 612 nt
Filed under: Trifolium pratense (red clover)
Lineage: Eukaryota; Viridiplantae; Streptophyta; Magnoliopsida; Fabales; Fabaceae
Description: long non-coding RNA (TPRA_LNC008750)
Source: RNAcentral
ACAAGUUUUAUACUUUAUUGUUUUCAAAACAUAUUCUAGAAAUCAUUAUAAAAAAAAUUAUUCUAGAAAUAAAUUGACCAAGCAAUUGUUUUUCAUUUUUUCGUUUUUAAAACUUGUUUUUAGAAAUAGACUUACCAAACUGAGUUUUAUUACUUUGGUAAAAUCCACAGAUUAUGGCAUUUAUGGGUGUGUAUUGGGAAGGUAGGAAAUAGUAAUCAAUUGGCUUAAUGAACAGCUGACUAGUUUCCAAAGGCAAUUAAUGUAGCUGUAAAGGCAAAAUAAAAAACGUAGUAUUUUUUACGGUUUCCCAAAAGUUGGGCCGGGUUUUUCAGAAACGGGUCACGAAUCUGACCCGGACACCCGAAAUCCUUGGUUGAUGAACAGACUCGCGCCGGAACGACGAUUCCACCGCUCCCUGCGUAUUUUCGCGGCGGAUCUGGCCGCGCCUACCAAAAAACGAUUUUGGUAAUUAUCUAGCAAGUCAAAGGGUGGCAAGAUCGUGAAUUGAUUUAUUAACAUGGCAUGAGCUUUUGUUGUUGCUGGAGUGGUAGAAUAAGAACCUUUGGUUUUGGCGGUUGCCUCUUCAGAAAAUAAAAAAGAUCUAAACAAACC